Molecule: long non-coding RNA, 6226 nt
Organism: Ictalurus furcatus (blue catfish)
Lineage: Eukaryota; Metazoa; Chordata; Actinopteri; Siluriformes; Ictaluridae
Exons: 3
Source: RefSeq, a predicted model, not a curated record
UGGUACUGUACAAGAGGAAUAAAACACGUGUGGAAUGUGCUGUUUUAGGGAAAUCAUCGACUUUGUCAUGGUAACAGUAACCAUGGUAACCACUCUAACACAACAUGAUAAACGGUGUUUUAUUCCUCUGAUACUACAGCAAUCUGCUAACGAUUACAAUCAUUUUUAUUUGUUUCUAGUUACAUUCGAUGUUGCGCAACGGCUGACGAAGACGCUCUAAUCUUUUCUUCACCUUCAUUGUCGAUUAGGAAUCCAGGAAUAGAUGGAUUAAAAACAACACCACGGUACAAGGACUCGAAAUCCGAACACACGUGCGCUGAACGCGGUCCAAAUGGAAAUAACUGAAAAGCAACAUUUCGGUAAUUUGCUCUUUGACUUUAUGCCACUCUUCAGAAUGCCAAAGACAUGGAAAAAAAAAAUCGACAUGUGGAAACAGUGAAAUGGCAACGCGACGACGGAGAACCGUUAAAAGCAUUUUAUGUUUGUCAGGCUUUUGUGCAGGGAAGCAUGAAAUCUGGAGCCGUCUCUGACAGAACUCCAGAAAUCGGUGUUCUGGGCUGUGUUAUGACACACUGGACGUAGUGGACCCGGAGACACGGUGCAUGAGACUCGUCUGCAACCUGCGUCGAGAUUCAGACCCGGCCAAGGCAGCAACAUCUGCUUCUCUUCAGCGAGGCCCAGAUUCCUCGGACUGCCACUGGCAGCAACUCAGCGCGAGACGCUUCGCCGAAAACACGCUCCAGGCGCGAGUUAGAAAUUGUUCUAUUUACCAAAAGUUAAAAAUAGGAGCACAUGGGGAGUGGGCGACAAGCAUGUUUUUCAGGCGAAAAAAGAAAACAACUGGAGUUUGGUCUCACCGUAAUGACAAGAGCGUGUUAUUAUACAACUUAAUCGCAGGAGCUCUUUAUUGGUGUCAUUAUUUUUAAUCAGACUUGUAUUUAUUCGAGACCCAGAAUGCUAAUUUGUUGCUUUUGGCUGUCGUGUAUAUUUCAGGUUGAUUACACACCGCAUGCUAACCCUGCGUUGACGCUAACAAGCGACGUGUCCCAACGUGUUUCACUUGUAGUUUGUCUCUCGUGGGCGUAGACCGAGCCGUACUCUUGUCUCUCGUGGGCAUGGUGUGUCCAUCCAGCAUUUUUAGUUCCAUGCAACAACGGUAGUAGCUAAAACUUACAAGCAACAGAACACAAUAUAUUUAUUACGCUGUACGAUUCGAUUCGUUUGUCAUAAAAAAAGUACUUAAACUGAAUUCUAGUAUUUUAAUGAAGUGAAUGAAAAAAGUGUGAAAAUUGGUUAUUGUAUGUAUGUUACGUGCCAGGCCUUUUUUGUUUUAGCCUUGUUAGCAGAUUAGCAGCAUGAGCUAACUCCACUGGCUACAUACAGGGGAGCCGCCACAUACCAUAUACACCUAUUCUAUAUAACUUACUAUAACUAGUUGAACACAAUUUAACUAACAAACUAAUCAACGUGAAAACUGGCUGUUUCAUUUACAUGCUGUGUGCCAGGCUUUGUAUUAACUAUUAACAGAUUAGCAGCAGAAGCUAAGAAGCUAACUGUACUGUCUACAAACACUCUCCAGAGACACCAAUGAUCUCUGCUACUUCCUGUACAUAUUUGGAAUAUAUAUAUACACACACACACACACACGCACAUAUACACACACACACACACACACAUAUAUAUAUAUAUAUAUAUAUAUAUAUAUAUAUAUAUAUAUAUAUUUAUACAUAUGUACAGAAAAACACAAAACCACAGUUAUUAAGUUUUCCUCCAUUUUCUUGAGUCAAGCAGGAAAUGGAAACGAACUGCAGGUAGGAGAGCGGAAAUGAAAAGACAUGGUACCACACCUGCCAUACAAUUGGUCUGAUUGGUCCAAGCGUGGCUUUAUCGCAACGGUCACCUGUUGCUUUGUCGCCCGCUAGUGUGAACACACCUGAAGAUGUCCCGAAUAGCCCUACUUUUACGUUUUUUUAAAGUUUUUUUUACUUUUACAUUUUUUUCAUUUGUAAAACCGUGUGUGUUUCUAUUAUGAUUCGAGUCUUGUCUCCACUCCUGUCUUGUCAUUGGUCCACUCCAUAUUGCGUCAUGAUUUGACUCACCUGUUUCCUGCCAUUAAUUUGCUCCUGAUUUGUUUGUGUAGUUCCGCUGCAAUGCGCUGUACUGGGACCUCUGGGAUAAAAACCCGACCUCUGACACAGAAAAGGGAAAAGGCAGGAUUUAAUGCAAAGAUUUCCCUUUGCAUUAAAUCCUGCCUGAUAAAGUUGAUUUUACUUUUAACAGCAUUGUGUCGAUUCAUAACCUUCUGCUGAUUUCAACCCAGUUUUUAUGAGUAUUAUGAGUUGACCUACAUUACACGUCAUUUCCCUCUGUCAAUCACACAGAAAUAAUUUACAUACGUAAAUACUUAUUAAUAUGUUUAUCAAAUUCAGAGACUAGGCAUACAAACAUGAGCUUGCUUUGGGCAUCGAUUUAUUUUUUUGGAUGGAAAAUCUACUCGGAACUUUCAGAAUUUUCCGAAACCCGCCUGAUGAUUUCAGGUUUCUCGAUCGUUUCCUGGUUUCCUGCCCGUGCUUCGAUCAUAUGAUGAUGACGAUUUCUGACUUUGUCCGCAGAGUUUACGCAUUUUCCUCCCGUCUUUCCUCACUGCACGUUACAACAACAGGAACUAACUGCAAACAGAUAAAAAGUACUCGUUGCAAUGAGCGAGCGUGUUAUUAUACAACGAAAAACUCCUGAUCAUUUUCCAUCUCAUGUCUGGAAAUGUCGUUGCUGGAGCUGUUCACUGGUCUCAUUAUUUCGAAUCAGACUUUGAAACCCGGAAAGAUUUAGCUGUCGAGUAUUUUUAAGGUAAAAACACUCGAUUACAUGCCAAACCACCUUUCAGUUGAACAGGAAUCGAAUGGCUGUUAUCUAUACAGUGCACGAAAGGUCACUGAAAACAUGAAACAGUGCACUAACAGCUUCUAAUAUCCUGCGUCACUGCCAAGCUGAAUGAGCAGACGGUCCCCAACUGCACCCUGAUCUCAUGAUUAGCAACAACCAGGAACUCAUGUUGUUGAUGCUCAGAUUUAAAACAAAGUGGUGGAUUACAGUGCUCGUUAUCCACAGCUAGAGACGUGUUCGUUCGUAUCCUGACCUGCUGCUUGAACGCUUGGAUUAAAACCGCAGCUCCGGCAGCCAAGCUAACAGGCCUAAACAGCUAGCGCUCGGUCUGGCAUGAAACGAAGCAAAGUGCUGCUGAAAAUUAACUCCUUAAGUGUGCUACUGGAAUAACCACACCAGGCUGAGCUUAAUUUACACAAAACAUGCUUUAAUGCUGUGCUUAUUGGCAAAUAAAUACCUAGCUAUAGCUCUAAUUAGCUUGUAUUAUGUACUGAUCUAUCGAUAUACACAUUAGAGCACGAAUGAGCACAGACAUAAGCAUAAUAUAAUGGUGUACAUUUAAUAAAUGUAUAAAUGUAUUUGGUAACAGUAGUCGCUGGUUGUUUUCCUAUAACAGCACGUCACAGAGUGUUUUAUUUCUCAUUUGUCCUAAAGUACUUAUGUGCUAGUCCAUAUACAAAUUGUGAACUUAGAUGCGAAGGAAUGCACACGGUAUGCAGGACUAACGAGAAUUUACCUCACUUCCUGCCAUGGCUUUCCAAAAGGCGAUUAUUUCUUGAUUCGAUUCUUUAAAAAAAAAAAAGUUAACAUAUAUUGUUAGUUAGUGUAUAUUUUUAAAUGUCUAUCUACAGAUAUUUUUUAUUUGAUUUGUUCAUUCAGAUUUUUUUUAUAUAUAGUUUACUACAGUUCUCAGAAUUUCUUUCUUUUUUUUAGAAUAUAAAUAUUGUACAUGUCACACUUUCCUACAUUUGUUUUAUUUUGUGAAUUUUAUUUUUUUUACUGUUUAUUGUAUUCAAGUAAUGCAAUUUAACAGAAAAUAUUACAUAGUUAUGAAUCUUUACUACAAUAAGAUCACUUUAAGACACCUUGCACAUGUUUGCAGGACAUGAAUUGUUAAUUAUUUGUCUUUUUAUAAAUUUUUUUUAAUGUCACUAAGAAUAUUUUCACUCCUAUGAUUUGUACCGUUCCUUGCAUUUAAGUUUUGAAAAAAUCGAAAUGGAUUUAACGUGCUUUCUGCUUUCGUAUAACGGUUUUUCAUGAAAUAUAUCAGCUUUCUCUGAGUAAUCACGAACCGCUUUACCAAAUAAACAUAUUAAAGUCCCUUAAGUGACCGCACAGUAACCGGUUGCCAGGUAUUCACAUGUAAUUAAGUUUAAAAAGUAUAAACGUUUAAGGAAUAUAAAUGAACCGGUUUAAAAACGGGUCACCGAGUUUACAUAUAUAAAGCGGGUGCAAUUCGAUCAUGUAAAAAAAUUUUUUUAAAAAUUAUAUAUUUAAAUAUACAAAGCACUUCCACUUCCUAUACACACAUAUUUAUCAUGUUUUAUCACGUUGCUUAUAGUCUGCCAACUUUCUCCUGGCAGGAAGACAAAAAACAAAACAAAAUGAAAGACCUGCAGACGAACUCUGUAAAAACAUAUGAGUUGUGGAAAAUAACAAAAAGGUUUCAUGCUAGCAAUGGUUACCAAAAACAGCACGUUUGUGUGCCGUUACGUUGUUGUGCAAUACGUCAAUACAACGUUUAAGCCGUCAGCCUCGCGUCUUUCCCACAUCGAUAUGACAUAGAGACUGUCACGAAGCCCGUACUCCCAUAAAUACCAGUAAACCACAGAGUUAUAGGAAAUAUAAAAAUGGCUACACACCAGCCGGGUCGAGGAACUGUAAAGAAACCGCACUCUGUAAAGCUGCUUCUAAUCAUGUCAUCUUGCUGUCAUGUUCAUGUCGAAUUGCUUUACUUGGGCAACAGAUACUUUUUUUAAAAGUGUGGAAUGUAGAGUUGUUUUCACUUCAUGGCAUCAUCAAACGCUCAGGAGGAUUUACAGUAAAACCCCAGAGUGAUCUAUGUGACUAGGCAGAUAUUUACACACUUCUGUUAUGUUCAUUCGCCAGAUAUGUGGUGUACCACGAGUUCUCCCGCUAUGUCAUUACUAAACCAGCAGUUCUCAUUAAUUAUAUUUUCAACCUGGAAUCACACACACACACACACUCACUUAUAAUCCUUAAAACGUUCAUUCAUCUGAUUAGUUAUAAGAUUGCCAUCUUAUACAGCUUCUACAGCUUCAAUUCAAUUUAGUUUUAUUUGUAUAGCGCUUUUAACAGUGGACAUGGUCUCAACGCAGCUUUACAGAAACAUAUAAACAAAGGAUAGAGAUUUUAAAUGUGUGAAUUUAUCCCUAUUGAGCAAGCCAGUGGCGAUGGUGGCGAGGAAAAACUCCCUAAGAUGAUAUGAGGAAGAAACGUUGAGAGGAACCGGACUCAGUAGGGAACCCGUCCUCAUCUGGGUAACAACAGAUAGUGUGAAAGUAAAGGAAAGUUCAUUAUGGUUUUUAUAUGAAGUUUAUUUUGUUGAAAUAGUCCACUGUUCACUAAAGGAGACCUGAGUGCAAAAUUGUAUGUAGUAAUUGCAGUCCUAAGGCCAUCGCAGCAACCGUAGACCCAGCAACCACAGCGAGAAUGUCCAUGUGGAAUUGAGGUCCAAAACCAUUUCCAUGGUACUCCAAGCGGCACCGUCCUCAGCGAUCUCCAGGCUGCACCGCUUGGGGUCGUCCUCCAACUACAGGAAUUAUUGUUACCACACUGAUGUUUAUUAUCUGUACUGUAACACCACGUCCUGAAGUGUUCUCACUUCAGUCUCUCUAAGUUAACACAGCUUGCUGUCUUUCGUUACCAAGAAACCUCUUUCCUGAAGAUUUCAGGAAAACCUACAGCUUUACCUUGGACUGUUUGAGACUCCUUCCAUAAAUGUUAAAUAAAUGUCUCCUUACUUUACAAAAACUUCACCAUAUAAGUCCUUGUGAACAGAAACGAUAACAAUAUCAGAUCGAGUGCAUUAAUAUAAACCUGUGAUUUGCAGGGCCGCUGUUCUAGAAAAUUAAUCAAAACCUUCGGACCAAUCAGACCGAAUGAAUCUUCGAAACUGACACCAAUCUUGCACUCUAUGGCCAAAAGUACAGUCGUGGGAAAAAGAAAGUACACCCUCCUUCAAUUCAUUAUUCAAUGUUAUUAAUCAGGGCCUAAAUAAUAAUUGUGUGGUCCAUCUAUAAAUGUCUAUAAACAAAAAAUAAUAAUCUCAAGUAACAACAACAACAACAAAAGCACAACAGAUUUCACUAUGUAGUCUGCA